Molecule: ribosomal RNA, 851 nt
Filed under: Orbilia plurilentiformis
Lineage: Eukaryota; Fungi; Ascomycota; Orbiliomycetes; Orbiliales; Orbiliaceae
Description: LSU rRNA
Rfam family: Eukaryotic large subunit ribosomal RNA
Source: RNAcentral
CAACAGGGAUUGCCUCAGUAACGGCGAGUGAAGCGGCAACAGCUCAAAUUUGAAAUCUGAAGUUUACUUCCGAGUUGUAAUUUGAAGAGGAUGCUUCGGUUGUAGCUCCGGCCUAAGUUCCUUGGAACAGGACGUCGCAGAGGGUGAGAAUCCCGUACGCGGCUGGCGGCUUACUUCCAUGUGUAGCUCCUUCGAAGAGUCGAGUUGUUUGGGAAUGCAGCUCUAAAUGGGUGGUAAAUUUCAUCUAAAGCUAAAUACUGGCGAGAGACCGAUAGCGCACAAGUAGAGUGAUCGAAAGAUGAAAAGCACUUUGAAAAGAGAGUUAAACAGUACGUGAAAUUGUUGAAAGGGAAGCGCUUGCAAUCAGACUUGCUUUCUGUUGAUCAACGUUCCUUUUGGUUCGUGCACUCUGCAGUUUGCAGGCCAGCAUCAGUUGCGGCGGUGGGACAAAGACUCAGGGAAUGUGGCUACCUUCGGGUAGUGUUAUAGCCCUGUGUGUAAUGCCACCUGCCGCGAUUGAGGACCGCGCUUCGGCUAGGAUGCUGGCUUAAUGGUUGUAAGCGACCCGUCUUGAAACACGGACCAAGGAGUCUAACAUCUAUGCGAGUGUUUGGGUGUUAAACCCAUACGCGUAAUGAAAGUGAACGGAGGUGGGAGUCUUCGGAUGCACCAUCGACCGAUCCUGAUGUUCUCGGAUGGAUUUGAGUAUGAGCAUAGCUGUUGGGACCCGAAAGAUGGUGAACUAUGCCUGAAUAGGGUGAAGCCAGAGGAAACUCUGGUGGAGGCUCGCAGCGGUUCUGACGUGCAAAUCGAUCGUCAAAUUUGGGUAUAGGGGCGAAAGACUAAUCGAA